Molecule: long non-coding RNA, 586 nt
Organism: Zea mays
Lineage: Eukaryota; Viridiplantae; Streptophyta; Magnoliopsida; Poales; Poaceae
Exons: 3
Source: RefSeq, a predicted model, not a curated record
CCAGGUCGAGGAGCCAUUCGCACGACACCAGCGUGCUUACGUGGAGUACUCAAACGAGCUCGACGCACUUACUCCUUCGAUGGUGACUUGGCAACCGUAUCUUGAUCCAUAUUUCGCCAGCAUACAGUUGAGCAGCAUGUGCUCAAUAGACGAGAACCUCUACCUCAUGAGGUGUCCCCUCAUCUGUUUUUAUGCUGUUGAGUACCACUUGCCCCACAGAGUUGCUCGAUAGUUCGGAUUGCGUCAGGAGUUUCCGGUGGAGCCAUUCUCGACUUCAAUAGAACUUCAUAAGUUCGACAGACAGAGACAGAAGAAGGUCACGGACUUCGAGACGCACCAUCGUGAUUACAUUGAUGAAUGGGACCAGCAGGGGGAUCUGAACUAUGAGAAUGACCAGGCGCACACAAACUACAACUUCCGGAGGUAUUUGAUUUGGUAUUCUGGUGUGACUAGGUGCAAGUUGAAGGGACAGUGGACAGCAACAGACUACGCCGAGCAAGAAUCGUCAGACGACGAAGACACAGCUUUCGACAUAGCUGCUCGGCACGGGUCCCAAAUUGAGGCUGCUCCAAUCCUUGAUAGAGUG